Molecule: non-coding RNA, 4022 nt
Organism: Oryctolagus cuniculus (rabbit)
Lineage: Eukaryota; Metazoa; Chordata; Mammalia; Lagomorpha; Leporidae
Source: RefSeq, a predicted model, not a curated record
AACACAAUGUAACCAGGCGGUGUCUUCUCUCUGGCCACCUUGCUGGACUUCCCUACUGUGCACUGAGGGAACCUGCAGGUGGCUUAGACUUUAGCUUUCCUUUCGCUUUCUGUGAAUGCCAGCACUACUGAAGCCCUUCGGAGCGCCCCGGACUCCUUGAAAGCCGGGAAAUGUAUAUAAAGUAGGCUACAUGUAAGAGGCAUAUAAGACACAUAAAGAAGAAUGCAUUCCCAGUCCUCUUUUGUGAUCCAGAACUGAUAUGUUGACAAGAGAUGUACUGUUUUAAGCACUGGUGUCAUUUGAAGACCUGGCUAUGAACUUCAUCUGGAAGGAGUGGCAGGGCCUGGACAAUGCUCAAAGAAUCCUGUACAGGGAUGUGAUGCUGGAGACCUACAGCAGCCUGCUGUCAUUGGGUCUUGAUGUAAAGCUGUUGUCUUUCAAGAAACCUGACCUAGUGAUUUAACAAAAUCCUACAUCAAUUUCCAUUAACAGGAUUGUGUGUUACCAAACCUGAGGUGAUCUUCAAGUUGGAGCAAAGAACAGAGCCAUGGAUGCUAGGAGAAGUCCUAAAUCAGAAACUUUCAGACUUUGGAGUUCUUAAAGGUCCAUGUGGUAUUUAUCUUCACAUCUCCAGUGACUCCUAACCUGAAGAUAUUAGCAUAAAUGUUCUGAAUACAUUGACAGAUGAACCUAGAUGAACCCAUGACCAAAUAAAUCCCUAAAUGCUAUCAUUUUAAAGUCAUUAAGAAAAUGCCAUUGAACUCCAGAUAAGCAAAAAUCACUUUUAAUUAUCAAGACUAGAAAAUACUUCAUGGUGAUGAACUCAGUCCUUGAAGAAUGAAUUGUCAGGAAUCCAACAGAGAGCAGUGGAGCCAAGCAGAGCAGAGUAUGGACUAUUCGAAAGCACUGAAAAAGAAAAGCAUAAAACUUGCCUAUGGAAUAAUGCCUGGACCACUGGUCUAAAAGGGAACUAAGUAUGUUUUAAGACUCAUGUGUCUGCCAGCCAUGGGGAGUCAGAGAAUGUUCUUGCCAGUAGUAAGACUGUAAAUGUGCAGGGAGAAGUGUGAUUACAAUACAUGGAGAGGACUGGAUGUGAAAAGAUAGUAGAUUCAAAGAGAAAAAUUAAACAAGAGACUGUAUGUAGGAGGCAAAAAUACUUGAAAUAGCAAUAACAUGGAAUAAAACUAAUGAACAUAGGACUGUUACAUCUAAUGAUCCUCCAAUUAGUAUUUAAAACUAUCAGUUUUAUAACCUUCAUUUCUCUACUCCUAGUCUUUAAGUCAUGAACACUACUUGACUUGGAAGACUGUCUAUAUGAUCCUAGGCACUUUUCCAUGUUCUGUUCUCACAUUCACCUUCAUCCCACUGCAGCAGCUAGAUUAUCUUUUUAGGUAAGAUACCCCUGCUUACUAUUCUCCAGUAGCUUCCAAUUGCAAUGGAAAUAAAAUGCAAACUUCUCACUGCAGUAAGACUCCAUCUAGCCUCUGACCUCUUCUCAGAUUUCCCACUUUAAAUCACCUGGCUGUGGUCACACCUAUCUUCCUUUGGUUUCUUUCAACAUUGGCUCAUUUUCAUUAAGAGAUUCCACAUUCCCAAUUCCCUCUGCCAGAAACAAUCUCCUCCUACAUUUUCACAUCUCGGCUCAAAUACAAUUUGUUCAGAGAUGCGAUCUCUGAUCACAAGUCCUAAGCUGGCCAUCCCUAGCAAAUUCUAAGUAUCCUCCUACCCUGCUUUAUUCUUUCAGAGUAACUGUCACCUUUAACAGUUACCAUUCUCUUUCUGUGCAUCUCAACCCUGUUCCUCCACCACAGGAAGAAAAGACAUUCUGUGAUAGGAGGACCUUGGCCAUGUCACUCACCACUCUGUUCUCCUCAUUCAAAAGAUGAGCCUGGAACAUAAUAAUCAAUGUACAUUUUACAAAGUCAAAAUUCUAAUUACAGAUUCUAGGGAACAAAUAGCACUGUACAAGCUUCUCUGAGCUGUACUUUGCUUCUCCUCUUGCUAUGUUAUGAACUGCUUUACAGACUGGAUUGAAAGACGUGGACAUGAGAUCAUGUUGCACCUUAUGAAGACACACAGUAAAAAAUUAUUCAAGCCACUCAAGAUUUUGUAUUAAGCAAUUUAGUGGCUUUAAAAAUAAGACUGACUACUUUACAUGCUAUGUUCUUUUUCAGAACAUGUAUGGAGAGGAGGCUUGGGGUCUAAGUCUAAACAUGGACAAGGCCAUGGACAGCCUUCAAGGACAAAAAGAAAGGGAUGCUCCCUAGCUACACAUGAAUUUAUAGUAUUUUCUAAGUGCUUUCUCUGAAUCUUGGCUUUAUAAUUUUAAUUAAAAUAUACUAAUGGAGACAAGUUUGAAUAAAAAAUGAUUCAUAUAUAAUCUGAAUUUGUAUCUUUUAUUUUUGUAUUUUAUAGUUUAAGAAAAAAAAAACACACAAAACAUAAAAUCAAACAGUUGAAACGAUAGUUUUCAAGAACUGACACUUGAGGCUGGUGUUGAAAAUAGUAGGUUAAGUGGUUGUUUGCAAUACUGGCAUCCCAUAUCAGAGUCCCAGCUGUUCCCUUUCCUAACCAGCUUCCUGCUAACAUGCCUAGGAAAGCAGCCAAAAAUGGCUCAAGUACUUGGGCCUCUGCCUCCCAUGUGGGACACCUGGAUGGGGCUACUGAUACCUUGCUUCAUUCUUCCCCAACCCUGGCCAUUGCAGCCACUUGGGGAGUGAAACAGUAGAUAAAAGAUCUGUCUCUCUCUCUCUCUCUCUCUGUCUCCUUCUCUGUUCACUCUGCCUUUCAAAAAAAUAAAUUUUUUAAUAAAAAAACACUUUAUUACUGAGCACCAAAAGGGAAACCUGUUGAAGUGAAAUUGACACAUGAGAAACAGUGACCUGAUCAGCUCUUGUCCUGACUGUUGAUGUGCAAUGUGAUACUUUAUCCAUUUUAGUAUUUUUUUUGUUCUAGUACUAUUGGUUGAACUCUGUAAUUGACACACAAUUAUUCUUAGGUGUUUAAAUUUUAACUGAAAAGUGAUACCUGUUAGGAAUCUGGAAAGCAUUAUGUUGAGUGAAAUAAAACAGUCCCAAAGGGACAAAUACCAUAUGUUCUCCCUGAUCCGUGACAACUAACUGAACACCAAAAAGGAAAACUGUUAAAGUGAAAUGAACACUAUGAGAAACAGUGACUUGAUCAGCCCUUGCCCUGACUGUUGAUGAACAAAUUAAUAUGUUAUCCCUCUUAGUAUUUUUUUUGUUUAUUCUACUUAAUACUUUUGGUUGAAUACUGUAAUCAAUAUACAGUUAUUCUCAAGUGUUGAAACUUCACUGAAAAGUGAUUGCUGUUAAAUAGAAGAGUGGGAAUAAGAGGGAAGAGAUGUGCAAUUCGGGACAUGCUCAAGCUGACUUACCUCAAACGGUAGAGUUAGAAACAUACCAGGGGAUUCCAAUUCAAUCCCAUCAAGGUGGCAUGUACCAAUGCCAUCUCACUAGUCCCAGUGAUCAAUUUCUGUUCGCAAUUGAUCAUAAUGAUAGGACUAAUAGCCAAAGGGAGCACAUAACCAAGACUAGUGUCUGCAAAUACUAGCUGAUAGAAUCAAAAAGGGAGAGAACGAUCCAACAUGGGAAGUGAGAUACACAGCAGACCCAUAGAAUGGCAGAUGUCCUAAACAGCACUCUGGCCUCAGAAUCAGCUGUUAAGGCAUGCGGAUCUGGCUGAAAAGACCAUGAGAGUAUUUCAGGCAUGGAAAGCCAAAACACUCUGGCAAAAAAAAAAAAAUACCCUGCAUGAAAGAUCUCGGUGAGUGAGAUCGCAGUGAAAAGAACAGGUCAUCAAAGGAGGUACCUUUCUCUGAAGAGAGGAGAGAACUUCCACUUUGACUAUGACCCUGUCUAAAUAUGAUCAGAGUUGGUGAACUCAAAAGGCUUCCAUAGCCUUGGCAAUUCAUGACAAGAGCCUAGGGUGAUUACUGAUGCCAUAAACAAGAGUGUCAAUUUGUUAAGUCAACAACAGGAGUCACUGUGCACUUACUCCUC